This 465-nucleotide ribosomal RNA is filed under the name uncultured bacterium. Its description in RNAcentral is "partial 16S ribosomal RNA". It matches the Rfam family "Bacterial small subunit ribosomal RNA", at positions 338 to 795 of the family's 1533-position model. The record is from RNAcentral.
CCUACGGGUGGCAGCAGUAGGGAAUCUUCCACAAUGGGCGAAAGUCUGAUGCAGCAACGCCGCGUGAGUGAAGAAGGGUUUCGGCUCGUAAAGCUCUGUUUGCAGGGAAGAACGAUAGAGGUAGUAACUGGCCGUUAUUUGACGGUAAUUACUUAGGAAGUCACGGCUAACUACGUGCCAGCAGCCGCGGUAAUACGUAGGGGGCAAGCGUUGUCCGGAUUUAUUGGGCGUAAAGCGAGUGCAGGCGGUACGAUAAGUCUGAUGUGAAAGCCUUCGGCUCAACGGGAGAAUUGCCUCAGAAACUGGUGAACUUGAGUGUGGAAGAGGAGAGUGGAACUCCAGGUGUAGCGGUGGAAUGCGUAGAUAUAUGGAAGAACACCAGUGGCGAAGGCGGCUAUCUGGCACGUAACUGACGCUGAGGAUCGAAAGCAUGGGUAGCGAACAGGAUUAGAUACCCGAGUAGUC